CGCCAGGGGACUACAAGCCAAGCUUCAAACCCAAAGGAUUUGACGGUGUCCCACCCAUCUAGAGGAGCCUGUCCUAUAAUCGAUGAUCCGCGCUUUACCUUACCACUCUUUGCUCUCAGCCUGUAUACCUCCGUCGCAAGCCUACCAUGUGAAUGAAACAGUACGCUUAAUGAUCUUUUCAUCAACACGUCAGGUCAAGGUGCAGCUUAUAAAGUGGCCAGAGAUGGGCUACAAUUUCUAUAAUAGAACAAACGAAACAGCUAGAUGAAACCUGCUGUGAAGGCGGAUUUAGUAGUAAAAAGAAAAUAGAACAUUCUUUUUAACUCGGCCCUGGGACGUGU
RNAcentral lists this ribosomal RNA (341 nucleotides) under Phrynobatrachus calcaratus (Boutry River frog). RNAcentral describes it as "partial 12S ribosomal RNA". It matches the Rfam family "Bacterial small subunit ribosomal RNA", at positions 870 to 1384 of the family's 1533-position model. The record is from RNAcentral. Lineage: Eukaryota; Metazoa; Chordata; Amphibia; Anura; Phrynobatrachidae.